UGGGUCCACUCUGCGAGAGAUAGGAGGAAAAAGAGGACAGCAGCUCAGAGCCCUCCGUCUACGGCAGUUUGGCCUCAGAUGCGCCCAUGUCCAGCGGCAAGAAGUCAGAGAGACGUCUGCGUCAAAGUCCCGAGAUGCUGCUGACUGGGAAGCUCACACAUGCCCGACGGCCUGUUUGGAGAAUGACCAGUUGAUUGGAAAAAUCCCAAAAAUACUGGCUCUAAACCCCAAAUAAUCCCACGACAAGAUUUUUUUUUUUCUUAACCCUUAAUUAAUUUACAAAUAACAGUUAGUACAGUUAGACCACACUGUGCACUCAGCACGACCAGCUACAGCCCGAGAGCUGCAGGAGGCCAGACAGACUUUCUACAGGUCUCAGGUAAUAAAACUGCCUCUGAAAAAAAUGUCAGUAAAAUCGAGUAAAUGUGUUCCUGGAACGAAAUUUAAAACAAAACAAACAAACUGUAGCUUUGGUUUUAAAGUUGUUCGGUUUACAAUCGGGGAAAAAAACAACAUUAGCAUGACAAUUAAACAGUUAGUCAGGUGUUUUAUCAGGCAGCCAGGUUGUUUGUUUGACAAACAACUCGCCACUGAUCAAAUGUGCAGUGCAAAAAAAUGGCCUACAAGCGUAGGCCUUUUCUAAAAUAUAAAAACUACAUUAAAAAAAAGGACAUUCCUCUUAUGAGUGCAUUUACCUGCUAAACACCUUUGUAAUGAAACUGUGAUGAAAAUUGAAAGAUAAACACUAAUUUCACAAGAAUUUACUCAUAGAUUGAAUCCAUCUUCAUGAAGAAUUAAAAAAAAAAAAAAGAUAAUAAUAACAGAAUUACACCCGGGCUUCAUGUUGGCGAGCAUUAAAAUGUUUAAUACACACAAAAAAAGCGUGACAGAAGCCUUAAUAAUUAAAGUAUGGAAUAAAAACUGUGAAGUUGUUUGAUAAAUCAAGAGUAACUUCCAGAAGUCUGAUCACCGUCGCGACAACAAUCGGCCAAAUUCUUUGAAAUGUGCUCAUUAGAAAUCUGUGCACUGAAACAUUGAUGCUACAUAGAGGAACCCACUUGCAUUUGUCUAUUAAUGUGGCUUAAAUAAUAAUUCAUACUCCCUCCUCCUGAUGCUGAUGCACCAUAUGCUUGUAGCAGCUGACCCCGUUUAAAUUAGGCAACAAUUCCCAUGUUUUUCUAAAAAUAAUGCUGAUGAAAAUGUGGACUCUCAAUUCUCCCAACCAGAAAAAAAAACUAUUGUGUUUAUGAAAUGAAAACCAUCACGGCCAUUCAUUUGUUGAAUUUUGUCAUAAAAACCUGGACUUCUAUUAUUAAAACAAAAUUUAAAAAAGGAGCCACCCGCAGAAAACUUUAUGUGCUCUGUUCCUUUUCAGUGUUCCUUGGAAGAAAACACAAAACAUUAAACUUAAAAAAAAAAAAAAAAAAA
This is a long non-coding RNA of Toxotes jaculatrix (banded archerfish), 1428 nucleotides long. RefSeq lists it as uncharacterized. NCBI's taxonomy places the organism in Eukaryota, Metazoa, Chordata, Actinopteri, Toxotidae. The transcript is spliced from 2 exons. The record is from RefSeq and is a predicted model, not a curated record.